GCCUGCAUUUAGAAAAGACCACAGACUGCCUAUCCUCUGGUCAUCCAUAAUGCAGGGCGAGGAGUUGCUGGAAGCCAUUUCCCAUGUUUGAAGGGUCCUCUCCUAUCUCUCUCAAAUGCUGACUUUCACACA
This is a small nucleolar RNA of Mesocricetus auratus (golden hamster), 132 nucleotides long. RefSeq annotates it as small nucleolar RNA SNORA71. The record is from RefSeq and is a predicted model, not a curated record. NCBI's taxonomy places the organism in Eukaryota, Metazoa, Chordata, Mammalia, Rodentia, Cricetidae. The transcript has a single exon.